CUACGGGUCGCUCCAGUGAGGAAUAUUGCACAAUGGGGGGGACCCUGAUGCAGCAACGCCGCGUGGAGGAUGACGCAUUUCGGUGUGUAAACUCCUUUUAUAUGUCAAGAAAAUGACGGUAGCAUAUGAAUAAGCACCGGCUAACUCCGUGCCAGCAGCCGCGGAAUACGGAGGGUGCAAGCGUUACUCGGAAUCACUGGGCGUAAAGGACGCGUAGGCGGGUUGGAAGGUCAGGUGUGAAAUCCUACAGCUUAACUGUAGAACUGCACUUGAAACUUCUAAUCUAGAGUAUGGGAGGGGGAGAUGGAAUUAGUGGUGUAGGGGUAAAAUCCGUAGAUAUCACUAGGAAUACCUAAAGCGAAGGCAAUCUCCUGGAACAUUACUGACGCUAAGGCGUGAAAGCGUGGGGAGCAAACAGGAUUAGAUACCCCCGUAGUC
Molecule: ribosomal RNA, 438 nt
Filed under: uncultured bacterium
Lineage: Bacteria
Description: partial 16S ribosomal RNA
Rfam family: Bacterial small subunit ribosomal RNA
Source: RNAcentral